RNAcentral lists this ribosomal RNA (461 nucleotides) under uncultured bacterium. RNAcentral describes it as "bacterial SSU rRNA". It matches the Rfam family "Bacterial small subunit ribosomal RNA", at positions 1 to 507 of the family's 1533-position model. The record is from RNAcentral.
AGACGUCUACGAGUUUGACAUGGCUCAGAACGAACGCUGGCGGCAGGCCUAACACAUGCAAGUCGAGCGAACCCUUCGGGGUUAGCGGCGGACGGGUUAGUAACGCGUGGGAAUAUACCCUUUGGUACGGAAUAGCCUCGGGAAACUGAGAGUAAUACCGUAUGUGCCCUUCGGGGGAAAGAUUUAUCGCCAAAGGAUUAGCCCGCGUUGGAUUAGAUAGUUGGUGGGGUAAUGGCCUACCAAGUCUACGAUCCAUAGCUGGUUUGAGAGGAUGAUCAGCAACACUGGGACUGAGACACGGCCCAGACUCCUACGGGAGGCAGCAGUGGGGAAUCUUAGACAAUGGGCGCAAGCCUGAUCUAGCCAUGCCGCGUGGACGAUGAAGGCCUUAGGGUUGUAAAGUCCUUUCAGAUGGGAAGAUAAUGACGGUACCAUCAGAAGAAGCCCCGGCUAACUCCGUG